GUCCCCGUAGCGCAGGGGAUAGCGCUCUGGGGAUAGCGCGCUGGACUUCUAAUCCAGAGGUCGCGGGUUCGAAUCCCGCCGGGGAUG
Physella acuta is the source of this 87-nucleotide non-coding RNA. The record is from the annotation of a RefSeq genome assembly. NCBI's taxonomy places the organism in Eukaryota, Metazoa, Mollusca, Gastropoda, Physidae.